RNAcentral lists this long non-coding RNA (514 nucleotides) under Monodelphis domestica (gray short-tailed opossum). RNAcentral describes it as "lncRNA (ENSMODG00000046363.1)". The record is from RNAcentral. Lineage: Eukaryota; Metazoa; Chordata; Mammalia; Didelphimorphia; Didelphidae.
UAUGCAUUGGUUCCAAAGCAGAAGAGCAGUAAGGGCUUGGCCAUGGGGGUUAAGUGAUUUGCUCAGAAAGUGUCUGAAUUCAAAUUCGAACCCAGGACCUCUCAUCUCUAGGCAUGGCUCUCCAUCCACUGAGCCACCCAGCUGCCCCCUGUGCUACAUUUUUGUCUGUGUUUCUGACUCUCCUGGACUUCACUACCACAAUCCAGUUGACUUUUAAUUCUGGAGCUCCUCUCACCCUGGACAACCUCUCUGUUUCUUCCAUUGGAGGGGAAUUCUGUAGCCUGGGAUGCUCAGGAAAGAGCCCCAGGGCCCCCGUGGGCGGAAGAGGAGGCAGGCCAGCCCCUCCACCCAGCAGAGGGGGCUUCUUGGCGCCCCAGGGACCCAGUCAGCAGAAAGGACCCCAGAGUCAGAAGGAGAGAGCAAGCACCUCUCCUUUCAGAAGAGAAGGUCUGCUCCUGGCUCUCAGAACGAUUCCUCCAAAACUCUAGCUUACUGACAAAAACAAAAUCUAAAC